Molecule: RNA transcript, 3080 nt
Organism: Carcharodon carcharias (great white shark)
Lineage: Eukaryota; Metazoa; Chordata; Chondrichthyes; Lamniformes; Lamnidae
Gene: vti1a
Gene name: vesicle transport through interaction with t-SNAREs 1A
Exons: 10
Source: RefSeq, a predicted model, not a curated record
ACAUUUUAUUAUCCAGGAAAACUGAGGGGAGGAUUUUUCUGCUUUCCACCAUCGUCGACCCAUUUUCCCUGCCCCCUUUCCCUUCCCGUUCACAAUCGCCGCACCGACAGUUGUUUAUCCUCCACCUCCUCCCUCCGGAGGAAGUAAAUCUCUCGCUGGGCAGUUCAAGGGGGAGGGAUUUUCCGGACGGCCGGGCGGAAGAAGCGGCGGCUGCUCCACUUUGACCGUCAAUUGCACAGAAAAUGUCCUCGGAUUUCGAGGUUUACGAGCAGGAUUUCGGAACCCUGACAGCAGAGAUCACCAAUAAAGUGGGGAGGAUACCGAAAUUAUCUGGAGAUGACAAGAAAUGUAUGGUUGCAAAUGUGGAAAAGCAGAUGGAAGAAGCUCGGGAACUGCUUGAACAAAUGGACCUUGAGGUACGGGAGAUACCACUCCAAAGCCGUGGCUUGUUCAGCACUCGAAUGAAGAGCUACAAACAGGAAUUAGAAAAGCUUGAUAAGGACUUUAAAAGGUCACGGAUCGCCUACAGUGAUGAGGUAAACCUUCGAAAUGAGCUCCUAGGGGAUGAUGGGAAUACCUCCGAGAACCAGUUGAUAAAAUUGCGUGAAGAGAGAGCAUGCCUGUUGGAUAAUACAGAGCGGUUGGAAAGGUCAACACGGAGACUGGAGGCUGGAUACCAACUAACCGUUGAAACUGAACAAAUUGGACAGGAGAUCCUGGAGAAUCUGCAUCAUGACAAAGAAAAGAUCCAACGAGCUCGGGAAAGGCUGCGUGAAACUGAUACAAACCUUGGCAAGAGCUCCAGGAUCUUGACAGGAAUGUUGCGAAGUAACAGAGAGCCAUGAAGAAGAGAGACCCCACAAUCCAUAGUGGAUGGCUGUAUUUAAAUCACAGGGAUCAUCCAGAACCGGAUCCUCAUGUUUAUCCUGGGUGCCAUCAUUCUCCUAACCAUUGUGCUGGCCAUUUAUUUUGCUGUCACAGGCCACUGAUACGUCUCUAUUCUUCUGUGAUUAAUAACGACAAACUGCUUGUUCAGUGUAAUUAGGACAAAUUGGUCACAUGAAUCAUCUUCUUGCACUGACAGAUUCUUCUCUACUGCGCAUUGACUCCGGUGCAAGCCAGGCAAAAAUGUUUUUUUUUUGUAUCUUUGUUUGCUUAUUUCCUUUUGUUGUUGUUGAGAAGGUGACUUGGAUUUUUAGUGUAACUGAGAUUGUGAGGCGUUACUGCGUGUUCAGUGCUGGCAGAAGAAAAGAAAAGUAGAAUCAUUUUAAGUCCUGUUGUGAUGGGAUUGUAUGUUGGUGUGCUACAGACCUUUGUGUACGUGUGUACAAUCUGUCAACAGCUUGCAGGUUAUAUCUACAGAGGAUAAAUGAUGGGGAACUGUGGUUAGCUAAAAAAUAAGACAUUGAGUGACGCCCUGACAUGCACAACUCCUAGGUCCAAAGGACAAGUGGAUUGCUUAAUUCCUGACGUCACAUUGGUUUAGAUUCUAAGUACACACCUAAUUAAUGAUUAUGACACUCCCUCUCCCACAAAUGCAUCAUGUAAUAUUAUGGAAAAUGCAGGCAGCUAUUUAAAAAAAAAAUUGGAAAUAAAUCACUAAUUCAUGGGUCCUACUUUCUGUAAUAAAGUGCAAUAUAAUUAAAAGAUGCCAAGCUGCAAUUAAAAAAUUAGAAACACAAAUCAACAUUUUAAAAGCUGCUGCUGCUACAAUUUUAAAUGCUUCAUGUAAAGGCAGAAAACCUAGAGCAUGCCUGACGUCAGUUCGUAACUACACGAUGAAGAGCAUUUGAUAUUCUGUUUAAGGCAGGCUGAAUUGUCUUAUUUUGGAACUGGCUUGGUGGGGGGCUUUCUUUGCUUUUGCUUCAGAGCUGAGAGCUUCAAAGGCUGAAAUUAAUAGUGAACAAAAUUGUGCAGAUCUGACCAUCCCAUGUGGGUAGAACCCAUUGAGGUUAUCAUUAUCUUAAAUUCCACCAAUUCGACAAACCUCAUCAGAUAAUGACCUCUAUAGUUUUUUUAUUACCAUGGCAGCACAGAUUGUCUACCCACAGAAAAAAAUUGUAUUCUUCACAAUACUUUUUUUCUCUCCUUUUUUUUUUAAAACCUGUCAGAUCAUUUCAGUAUUUCAAACCUGAAGAAAACAGCCUGCCUGGAAAUGUAUUUGAAGUUGUAAUAGUGUCAAAAAGUCACGGUUGACUGACAGAUGUCAGUCCCAGUGGACCUCAUUAAAUCAUAAAAACUUGACAAGGAAAUAAUUGUGCAUCACCAACAACCUGGCUGCUGUUUAAACAUUUUAUUUUGUUUCAUUAUUAGGAUCAACUAUUUUGUUCAUUAAGAAAUUGCAUUAAACAACAGUUUUGUGGCUAAUGAUCUGUUCUGGGCUUAUGUCUGUUUUCUUUAAACAUCAGCUGCGUCAUGUGGUUUCUUUGCAGUCGUGCUAUCAUCUGGCAGAAAUCCACCACUCAGAGCUGCGGGUGCCAUUGGAAUAUAAAAUGGAUUAUUCAUUACCAACCUUCUUGUGACUUAUUUGGUUUCAUGUAGUGGUUGAGGGUUUCGCUGUCUUCCGCGGAGAAGAUGAAAACUUGUCAAAAAUAGGUUAUAUCUUAUUCUCGGGGCAACAAAAUCAGUGGGUACACACAUGCUUCAAUGUUUAAUGAAUGCAGAUUUUAACCCCUUUACAUGACUUUGACUGUGAGCUCUGCAUUGACAAAGAAACCUCACUUUAAGAAAGAACUGGUAGUUAAUUGGCAAUCGGGAAGUGUGUCAUGAUUUAUAAAUUACUGCUAACUUUAGGUUAUAUUUUCUAAUAAUGAGAUAUUUCAAAAAAUCCAUACAUAUUCAUGCACUUACAUUUCCACACGUAUUAAAAAAGAGCAGGCUUAAUUAUGUGUGAAUUUUGGCAUUAUUGUAAUGACCAUUUGCAGUUGAGUGUUUUCUGGACAUUUAUUUAUUCAAUCGAUUUUGUACAAAGAGCUAUGAAAUCUGCCUUUAUGUUUGCUUUCUCCUUGUUGUUCUACAUUAGAUGUAUGGAAUGUGUACGUUAUUUAAUAUAUCAAUUACAGUAUUACAUUCCAAAAGAA